CUUUGAGCAACUGUUUACACUUAUAACCAGGGAUAUACUAGCGGUUUACUUUUUCUCUCUUUAUUUAUUCAUUUAUAUUUUUCUUUUAGAAAAGGCAUUCCGUUUAUUUCAUUGUACUAUCCAAUAAGUAAAAUACUUGUGCUCACUCAGAUGGGAACAUGUUGGGAUUAAAUGGGUUAAACGACGGAUUACAAGACCCCGGACAUCUCAUUUACAAAUAUUUAUGAAAAACUGUUUAAACGCCUUUGAAUAUUUCACAAGUAGACAUUUAUACUAAAUGGUAUUUAAAAUAUUUUAUUAAUACUACAUAAAUCGAGAAUGCAACAGGUAACGUUAGUAUGUCUUAUUCAUUUUCAGGGAUCAGCAAAUGAGCAAAUAUAAUUCCUAACACCCUCGUCCUUGUAAGAAAAAAGAAUAAUAUUAAACAUCAAGGAUGCUAUCAAACCACGUUUUUAUUUACUUUAACGUUACUUUUAUUUAACUGCGACGUUUCUUUUUCUGAGAACAACCAUAACAAACUUCUCAAGUCGAAGCUUGUUUACCUCAGAUUUGUCGUCGGUUUGAAAACGGACUCGUCGAGCUGUUCAUCUGCAGAACGGGUCGAGCACGACGGGCCCGUGAAUUAAAAAAAAGCCCACAGCCACCACCCUUAUAUAUCCAAUGUGAAUAAGAGUAAACCGUGUGUUAUUUUGUGCUGAUAUUAGAUAGGUCAGCGGCUGCUGUCUGGCUCUUGUGUAACGGUCGGUGCGCGCGCUCUCGUGUGUGUGUGUGUGUGUGUGUGUGUGUGAAUGAAUCAUAGUUCACCUUAGUUGAACUUGUGUGAUCUAGUUCACGGUAGCGUGAGGCUGUUGGUCCGGUCCGGUGGCUGUUGGGAGGAUGAACAUCUCUUCUUGAUCAUUACAAACAACCAAACUAACGUUACCCUUAAAAGACGCAGUGUGUCGUCAUGUUUUUUGUGUAACUUAGAUGAGAAGGUUUUGAUAGUUUGCUCGCAGACAGACUGUAUUAACGGUCGCGUGUUAACCUCGUUAAAGUGUCCGUAAGACAGAAAAUUUCAGCCUGAACUUGAAUAAUAAAAACGGUCGUCGUGGUUUAACUUACCCAACGACUCCCGUCAAGUUUCUUUUGUUUGUUUGUUUUGCCGUUGGCCGUUUCUAACGACAGCUAAAGGAGCACGAAUGAUCCAGAUGAAGCUACGAAGCGGAUGAAACGUAAAUAAUUGGGGCUUGAAAUGGCGAAAAUCUCUUUCGGACUCAACCCAGAGAUGGAACAUACGUCCACCUUUUAUCUGGUUCGGUGACUUUGGAUGACACUGACAGAUAUGUGUGUUGCAGGACCACGCAGACCUUUACUGUACUGUUGCACAGCUGCCCCACCCUUACAAAAUUAUGCAGUCGUAUCCCGAUGGAUCCGAAACGCUGACGCUAAUCCUUACUGAUUUCAUCUGGAAUUAUUGAGCUCUUAUUGGACACAAAAUCAUUUUUACCUUGUGUGAUAUUGUUGCUUCAGUGUUGCUUCAAAUGAUGAGGCUGACCUCAGAUUUCACCUCUGUAAUUGAGGAGUCCUGUAGACACGUGCCCACGGGGGCCCAGGAGAGACCACCACCGCUGCAAGCUCACUGCUACCUCUGCGCCGGAGGAAAAGGGUGUCUGAAAAUGACGUUUCCUAUGAGUCCCAAGCAAAAAUAAAUGUUUGGCCCGAUCAGAUCUUGCUAUGGUUUUCUGAUCAUUUCCCAGCUGUGUUGUUUUCUGUCAUGUUGUGUAAAAUGUGGCUUAAUUGGCUUAAAUAUCUUCUACACAUACACUGUGCCUUCACAAAUCCACUAGGUCAUGUGUAUGUGGGCUUGUUUUAUUGAACAUUAAUUUUUCUCUAUAUAUAUGUAAACUCUAGAUCUUUUGCGAAAGAUUUAGACACUGAUGGACAUUUCAGAUCUUAAACAUGUUGCUUUUUCUGUGGAACUCCAACUCUCAUUUGAUGAACUAGGCCACCAACUAGGAUUGAAAUGCUUCUCACUUCUUUAAUCUGUGCCUUGUUGUGUUUUAAUUAAUUUUUUGCUUCAUGGGAGUGUUAUGGUUAUAUUGAGACACUGUUGUUUUUGUCUGUUUGUUUGGUUUUUUCUCUUCACGGAUGAAAAGUUGCAGGUUAAAGAAGCUCAUGUUAUUAGUUUUUACUCAUUGCCCUCUCCACAAAAGCAUAAUUAUGGGUUGAAAAUUGCAGCUCAGUGAUGUGCAUGUGCAACACAUGGCUGCAAAUUCCUUAGGAUGCUUUUUUAAGUUGUUCUAGUUGAUUAUGCUGGAAACCCUGAUGUUAAUUUGGGAGGAAAAGAAAAUAUACUCUAAAGGUCCUACAGACAGUUAUUAGGAUCUGAGAUCCUGCGAAUGGCUUGUUAAUGUUCGUUUAAUUAAUUAUUUUAGUUUGUGCUUUUGACAUCCUCUUCAAUUGUAUGUUUAGAUCUGAUUGGAUUAAUGUGCAUUUUAGUAUUUAGUAAGGCAUUUUUUGACACGAAUUAAUGUUAGGAGACCAUUUUGUUCUCUUUGCUUCAGUUUUGAUAUUCGACCGAUGUAAUGUCAACAAAAGACAGGCUAACGUUUUUUGUUAUAUAUCUAUAAAUCACGUUGGAUGCACUUAUUAAAUGUGGAAAAAGUGACCAACCUGCUGUGCUUUUUAACCUCGUGAAGACUCACUAUAGCCGUUAUCGCUCUUUGGUAACUUUAACCCCAGAACACAUACACGCUUUUUAAAUCACACGAGAGUCUUUUUAAAAUGAUCUCAGCGAUGGUGCAUUAAAGUGCUCUGAGGUUGAGCCCUGAAAAGUACCAUAAAGAGUUUGUUUUGAUUGGCGUUUGAUCAUAGUCUCUGAGCCUUGUGAAGGUUGUGAAGGAUGGGGCCUUACAGAACAGCUCACUGUUUGGGAGUUGGCAGCCGACCCAAAACCAAAAUUGUAUCCUCAAAUGAACUUUAAUGCAAUGUACAACACAACACGUGCGCCAAGUCCCGACUCCCUGCUCGCAGGUCCUAUAGUAAACAAGCAAGAAAAUGAACGCCUGAGAAUCAGCAGCAGAGAAUGAGAAAUAAAACAGAUAAUGUUUUAUAAGAAAAUGAGAAGCACAAUUUUUCUUGUGUGAGGUGCGCCACCUUCGUGAUUGGCCGACAGACGUGGCGCAAUGUGACGUAGGCGCGUCAUACCUUGUGCCAGAGCGUGACCUGUUGCCAUUAGGGAAUCAGACUCAAAAAAAAAGGGGGUGAGCACUUGGAAUUUGAUUUAGCUGUAACGGUUUUAUACGGGUGCGACUCGGCCCAGAUUUGGUGUUGAAUCGAGGGUGGGGUGUGUGGUAUGUAGAAACUAAGUAUGUGUGUGUGAGAGUGUGUAUGUGUGUGUGUGUGUGUGUAAUGAGAGGUCAGUUCCAUGAGGGAGCCAGAAAGAGGAGGCCGAGAACGAGGCAAGGAAAUCUGGGCGGACCGGGUGCUUUCGGUCCCUCCUCCACAUCAAUGUGUGUGUGUGUGGAUCUGCGUGUGACAGCCUGAUGAGCAGCAGCACCCUCUAUACAGCCAUGUUCUCUGGUCGACGAGCAUGCUUUUAUCAACUCUUUAGUUCGCUAAACGCAGAAUAGGUUCGUAAUACAGUUCGAGGAACAGAAGCAGGCGCAGGCUCCACACUGGCAUGUUUUGGUAUGUGUUUUUGCAUUCUCGUUGGGCUUGUUCGCAGUAGACAGAUCAACUGUUUGAACUUGUAUUUAAUCGCCGCAUUGAUUAAUAACAAAAAAAGUUUUGCACUCGACGGUACUGGCAUGUUUACAAGAGUGUGCAAUAGCCGUAAAAAUGGCAUAAAAUGGAUUGUUGGUAAAAUACAGCACAGAAUAAUGAAAUCUUGAAUAAUUUUUUUGCAUCGGACUGCCUCACAAGUUAUUGAAUUCUGGUUCAAAAGGGAGGCGUAACAUAGGUGCACCCACGAAAGAUCGAAAAACAUGAUUGGCGGCAUGCUCCACUAAUUAUUCCUGCACCAGGCGGAUUCUCAGGUAGGCCGUGGUUGCAGAGUGUGUGUACAUGAGCGUGUGUGUGCGGUCACUGCAGAUGAAAUCUCCCUGCAAAUUGCGACAGAUGUUUCACCUCCAGACCGUCUCACCCAUGCGCCUGACACGUCUUGGGACAGUGGGAUGUACAAAGACACCCCAACAUUUGCACGCUCCACUUUUCCCAGAACCCUCCAUCAUGAUAUGGUCAUCUUUGAACUGCUGACUCUUUUAACCUUUUCUCGUUUGUGAUUGCUUGUAUAGCUAUUCAGUACUUUCGAGCCAGAGGACAGCUUCAAGGAUCGAGUUUGGUCUUGGCGGCGGAGCGCCUGCGCAUUUGGUAAAUUGUGUUUGAAUGGUUCGUAACGGGUGUGAGCGUAUGUUUGUGUGCACUCUCCGGGUGAACCGGAGUCUGUGUCAUGCUUCCCUCCUCUCUUCAGCUCUCCCUCCCUCCCUCGCUCACUGGCUGGAACGGUGGAUUAAAAAAAAAAAAAGAUUGCUCACGUACUCCACUGCCUCUCGGUUUCAUCAUCAACUUUUUUCCCUCCACUUCAGUUUUCCCUCUCUCCUCUCCUCUAAUUCCCUCCCUUUCUCUCUCUCUCUCUUUCUCUCUCUCUCUCUCUCUGUGCAGAUAGAAAUGAAAAAAAGCCUCUACCGCUGUUUCCACAGUUCAGUCUCCUCCCCUUCACCCAGUCUGUGCCAAGAGAAGGAGGGAUUUCUACUACUCACAGGAUUUUAACCCUGUAGCACAACCGAUUGGCUCAAGCUGCUUCUCUGCCACUUCAGUUUUUCCAGCGCGUCUUUUCCACCACUUCCCUAAACCUCGUCGGCGUGUUCUUCUGCAUUUUCAUCACCUCGAGACGCUUUCAGUCCAGAGCAUUUACGGCAGCCGGAGGUGUGUGGCAUUUCUCAUCCUCACCAGGGGUUAACGGAUCCUUUCCGUUGCUGAGCUUUGAAAAUGGCUGUAUUCUCCCUGCUUGUUGCUUGUCUCGGAGAAGGGAGGCGCCUGGAGUUCUAUCACUUUAGCGCCACCCUUUCUCUCUCUCUCUCUUUUGCCCUCCCUCUCUCAUACACACACAUACAGUUCUUCUUUCUCUCUCUCUCGCUCUUUCCCUGUCUCUGAAAGGAGAGCGGGAGGGCGGUGCGGUGUCGGAGCUUUUUCUGGGACAGGUGCCAAUUCCAAACAAAAGACAUAAAAAGGCAAUGAGUGAAAGCUGCCUCGAUCGUAAGAAAGAAAUAUGUUGCACGAUGAAACGCAAGAAGUUUGUGGCGACCGUGUGCAUGUGCGGUUGUGCGCGUUCGACUGAAUAGAAAUGUUUGAAGCUAAGAUUUGAAAUACUUUUCUUCUCUAUCUCUCUCACAACACUCUCUCACUCCUCUGGUGCUCUUGAGCCACUGAAGGCUUUUCAGUCAUGGGGGGGGAGGAGGGGAGGAGGCUUGGUUUUCAAGCUCCUGAAUUAUUCAUACGCCUGGGCCAACGCUGCGAUCGGACUGGCUGGGACAUUAACAUGCAGUGGACAUUCUAUUUGUCUGUUUGCUAACAUUCCUCAUUCAAAGACUUGUUAACUGCAAGACGGGCCGACACACGCGUCUCUCGGGUUGCUAUUGUGGCCAAAACCCGGUCGUCCUAGACCAGGGGACCGCAGGCUGACUUGUAGCCCGGCGCUGGGGACAUGCAGCUGGGGUGGGAGGAUUGGCUUGGCCCCCUGGCCUACCUCCUUCAGUCCUUGUGCCUGCUGUGGAAAGCUCACUGCUUCUUCUUCUCCUUCUCCUUCUCUCUCUGUCUCUCUCACUCUCACUCU
Molecule: long non-coding RNA, 5812 nt
Organism: Sinocyclocheilus grahami
Lineage: Eukaryota; Metazoa; Chordata; Actinopteri; Cypriniformes; Cyprinidae
Exons: 5
Source: RefSeq, a predicted model, not a curated record